UCCAGUCAGUAAAGAAUCUGCCUGUAAUGCAGGAAACCUGGGUUCGAAUCCUAGGUCUGGAA
Ovis aries (sheep) is the source of this 62-nucleotide transfer RNA. It matches the Rfam family "tRNA". From Rfam's summary of the family: Transfer RNA (tRNA) molecules are approximately 80 nucleotides in length. Their secondary structure includes four short double-helical elements and three loops (D, anti-codon, and T loops). Further hydrogen bonds mediate the characteristic L-shaped molecular structure. tRNAs have two regions of fundamental functional importance: the anti-codon, which is responsible for specific mRNA codon recognition, and the 3' end, to which the tRNAs corresponding amino acid is attached (by aminoacyl-tRNA synthetases). tRNAs cope with the degeneracy of the genetic code in two manners: having more than one tRNA (with a specific anti-codon) for a particular amino acid; and 'wobble' base-pairing, i.e. permitting non-standard base-pairing at the 3rd anti-codon position. The record is from Rfam. NCBI's taxonomy places the organism in Eukaryota, Metazoa, Chordata, Mammalia, Artiodactyla, Bovidae.